RNAcentral lists this long non-coding RNA (9137 nucleotides) under Solanum lycopersicum (tomato). RNAcentral's name for it is "long non-coding RNA (SLYC_LNC001163)". The record is from RNAcentral. Lineage: Eukaryota; Viridiplantae; Streptophyta; Magnoliopsida; Solanales; Solanaceae.
UAAACUCAACCUUUCUUCACACAUCCUGCCACAUUUUGUCCAUAUUAAUGUUAUAUCAGUGAUGAUGAGGAGCCAGCCUCUGAAGUAGGCAGUCUCUAUCGCCAUUCGUCCAAACUCAUGUGAAAUCGAAUCUGAAAUAAAUUUUAACCGCAACAACCACUUAUCGAAAAUUCAGUACUCCAAUAACUUAAUACAUGAACAAACUAGAUAAAAAUCAUAUCAUCCAGACAAAAACAAGAGGACCAUGAACAAAUCUAAUCUAAAAACAAGCUAUUAAUGACAACUCUUAAAAACCAUUAGAUUAGAUCUGUUGAUACUGAAAGUAAGGGUCAAGUUAGAACUAAUAUAGUUGUUCCAAUGAGGGCCCCUAAAUCAAUGAUGUAGGGAAGAAAUAUGAACAAAAGAACCAAACCAAAGAAUUUUUGCACCUAACAACCAAGAAUAGAAAGGAAAAAAAAUGAAAUGCUGGAAAGUGAGAUUUUUACAAAAAUUUCUAUGAGCAUUACACUGAAUCCAAGAUCAAGGGUGUGUUUGGCAGGAUUUUUGACUUAUUUUCUCAUGUUUGGUUGGUAAGUAGAAAUAUUUUUAGUGUUUAAUUUAUAAAUGAAAUUUUAUUUUUUACUGGAGUAAAAAAUAAUUUUUGAAACUGAAAAUAUUUUUAAAAAACAAACUUAUUUUUUUUGGGGGGGGGGGGGGGCUAUAAGGGAGACUGCCGGUGUGUGUGUGUGGAGGGGGGAGGGGGUUGACUUCGAGUUUGUAUAGUAAGUCACGUUUGUAUAUGUAUAAUUCGCCAAAAUAUACAAAUAAGUAUGUAUGCAAAUUUUAUCCCUACCUCACAGAAAUUAAUAGAGAGGUUAUUUCCGAUAGACCUUCGGCUUAAAAAAAGGUUCUUGCAACAUUAAUCAAAUAAUCAUAGGCAUAUAUCUAUGUGCAUGUGUUGAUCAAACAAAAAUUUGCAUACUGAGAAGUAAAAAACCAGAUUUUCUUAUUCCAUCAUCACAGUUUCUCCCUCUCCUCAUUGUUUAAGAGCAACAAUCGCAAGUUUUUCUGUAAGAUUUUAUAAGGGAGAUGCAACUUGUUCCCUAACAAUAAUAUCAAUUCUAAGCCGAUUAGAAAAUUAGAUCGCAAUAAGCUAGUAACUAUGCUCGAUGUUCUAAGAUGAGAACAAAUUAAAUAUGUUCCUUAAGGAUGUUGAUGUUACGACCCGAUUAUGAAAACUAAAAGGUUUCAAAAUCAAUUUCCCAACUUUGACAAUUUACUAAUUAUUUGGAAAAAUUAAGAAAACCAUAAAAAAAUUGAUUUUUGUAAGAAAACAUUUUUUUGAAUAAAACUAGCAUUGUGUAAGGGUUCAAUUAUUUUUUAAAGAAAGGUUUAGACAUCUUAGAAAAUCCACAAUCACACGGUUUAUCGAUGUAUUUAAACAUUUGACUAAUUUUAAAGAAAACUUAAGAUUUAUUUGUGAAAAAUCUUGUUUUUUUCUAAAAAAAAGAAUAAUAAAAAUCUAUUAAUGCUUAAACACUCAUCUUAUUCCAAGUAUGAAAUAAGUCAAAUGUUAAAUGUCAAAAUAAUAAUUUUAACCUAUCAUUUUUAUCCAUGUUAAAUUUUGAUUUGAAAAGUCAACACAAUAACUUCAAUGUGAAUUCGAAAGCUAAAUACUAACUAUGAAAGAAUAUGAAUUAUUGUCAAGUUUUAGUUUUAAAAGCUUAGAUUGCCUAACUUAAAAGAAAUUUGAAAAGUUUAAAUACUUAAAGCAAAAUGAAUAGAAAAUUUCUCAGAGGAUUCAUCUAAAUUAACAAAAUAAAACGUUAAAACGAUAGCGAUCAUCAACCAUAUUCACAAGUAGAGUAAAGAACUAAAUAAAAUAAAUAAAUGGAUGUGAAGGAAUAUUGAUUGUAUUGAAGUGUUAACCUAAUAAGGGAAUACAUGGGAGAUAUAUAUAGGAGAUAUAGGAAGGAGUACUAAUCCUAAUAGGACUAGGAUUAAGGAGUACUAAUCCUAAUAGGACUAGGAUUAGUACACAGUAAAUACUAAUAUUAUUUAAUACUAUUUACUUAAUACUAUCUGUUACUAUCCCCCCUUAAGCUGAGCUGAGCGGAAGCGAACGGAAGCUUGGAACUGAGGUAAUCGUGCUGUCGCUCAGGAGAGGCUUGGUGAGAAUAUCAGCCAGUUGUUCUUCAGUGGGUACAUACUGCACAGUCAUGAUGCCGGCCUGAACUUCAUCGCGAACAAAGAGACAAUCGGUAUCAACAUGCUUCAUUCUGGUGUGUAGGACGAAAUUCUUGGCCACACAGAUGGUUGAUUUGUUGUCACAAUAGAGAGCAGGAACAGUGUGAGUGGCACAGAGUUCGCGAAGAAUAUAUGUGACCCACAUGGUCUCAGCAGCAAGAAGAGCAAGGGCGCGGUAUUCAGCUUCAGUCGAGGACCGAGAGACCUUGGGUUUUUUUUUGAACACCAGGAGAUCAGGUUCGGCCCCAAAAAAAUGAGAAACCCCGAUGUAGAUUUUCUGUCAUUUUUAUCAUUUGCCCAAUCUGAAUCUGAGAAACCCCGAAGCUCCAAGUCCCCGGGUCGAAUGAGUAAACCACGACCAAGAGUGCCAAAUAUGUACCUGAGAAUGCGUUUUAGACAAUGGUAAUCAUGUUCACUUGGUUGAUGCAUGCGCUGAGCAACUCGGUUGACAGCAAACUGGAUGUCAGGACGGGUAAUGACCAGAUACUAUAGAGCCCCAAUGAGGCUGCGGAAGUGGGUGAUAUCGGCAAAGGGGGUGUCGACUCCAUUCGUAGAUGAAGAGACUGCCAUCGGUGUUGGUUGACUGGUGCAUUUUUCCAGUCCAGCUUUCUGCAACAGAUCUCGAGCAUAUUUUGACUGAUGAAGAAAAAAGCCGCUGCCUGUCCGAGAAACCUCCAUUCCCAGAAAAUAAUGUAACGGGCCAAGGUCCUUCAUUUUGAAGGUAGUAUGCAUAGCUCGAGUGACAUCCUGAAUGAGAGCUGCAGUAGAGCCUGUAAUAAUGAUAUCAUCUACAUAGACAAGAAGAAUGACUGUACCGUGUGCUGAAUAUCGAGUAAACAAACUCGUGUCGUGUACGCCACACGUGAAGCCGAGUCCCUGGAGGAACGUUUUCAGACGUGCGUACCAAGCACGGGGGGCUUGCUUGAGCCCAUACAGAGACUUCUGGAGUUUGCAAACAUGUUGAGGGAAGCGAGGAUCAACAUAGCCCGGUGGUUGCGUCAUGUAGAUUGUUUCAUCAAGCAUGCCAUGAAGAAAAGCAUUGGAAACAUCCAACUGAUUGAUGAGCCAAUUGUUGCGCACGGCGAGUGACAGUACCAGGCGAAUGGUUUCCUGCCGAAUAACAGGACUGAAUGUCUCGGAGUAAUCAAGCCCAUACUCCUGAUUGUAGCCUUUAGCAACCAAACGAGCCUUGUACUUAGAAAUACUGCCAUCUGCAUUAUGUUUAAUUUUGUACACCCAUUUACAGCCCACUGGGUGCCGCCCAUAGGGCUUAGGUACAAGAACCCAAGUUUUUUGAUCAGUUAAAGCCUUAAACUCGUCAUCCAUAGCAUGACGCCAAUAAGCAUUUUUUGAUGCAAAAGAGUAGGUUGUUGGUUCACUAUCGGGAAGGGAUGUAUUUGGUAGUAUGGUAGCCUGAAAGGUUUUGGGUUUAAAGAUACCGGCUUUGCCACGGGUUAACAUGGGAUGAGUAUUGGGGGGUGGCACGGGUGGUGGUGAUUCGGGGGUGGCCGGGAAGGACCCAAAACGGAUCGGGCUGGAGAUGUUGUGGGUAUGGGAUGGUUCGGGUUGGUUGUGAGUGUGGGUGGUGGUUGCUGGUGUAUUGUGGGUGACGAUCGAAGGGGUGAUGAGGGGUGGUUGGGUAGUGGGUGGAGGUGUGAGGGAAGGUGGUGAGGGACCCUGUGAGUAUGUUGGAAAAAGGGGAAGGACGCCAAUGAAUGAUGUAUUUGUGGAGGAGGAAAUAGACUCGUAGGGAAACUCAUUUUGGACAAAUUUGACAUGACGAGAUAUGUAGACUUUAUGAGUUUGUGGGUCAAGACAGCGAUAACCCUUGGAGGUAGGAUGAUAGCCCAAAAAAAUAAAAAGGACGGGAUCAGGGUUGUAAUUUAUGAGUAAUAUGAGGGCGUAGCCAAGGGUAGGCAAGACACCUAAAGACGCGGAGGUUGGUAUAAUUGGGAAGUUCUUGGUAAAGGAGUUGAUAGGGUGAUUUGUUGGAGAGGGUGUGACUGGGCAUUCUGUUAAUGAGGUAGUUUGCGGUGGCUAGAGCUUCUACCCAAAAGGAGACAGGUAGAUGAGAUUGAUGUAGAAGAGUAACCACCGUUUCAAUGAGAUGGCGAUGCUUACGCUCAGCCACCCCAUUCUGUUCGGGAGUGUAUGGACAGGAGGUUUGAUGUAUAAUUCCCAGGGAUUGCAGAAACUGACCAAAGAUGUUAUUUACAUAUUCCUUUCCAUGGUCACUUCGAAAAAGUUUAACAUGAGAAUUGAAUUGUGUUUUGACCAUUUUUUCAAAAGUGACAAAGGUGGUGUAUGCCUGUGAUUUGUGUUUUAGUGGGUACAACCAAGUGUAUUUUGUAAAAUCAUCCACAAAAACAAAUAUAAUAGCGAAAACCAGCAAAUGAAGGAACAGCAGUAGGACCCCAUAGGUCAGAAUGAAUAAGUUGAAAAGGUGCAGUUGUACGCUUCUCAGAUAAAGUAAAAGGUAAUUUAUGAGAUUUAGCAAUUGAACAGGAGUCACAAUUGUUUACAUGAAUGGAAGAAAAACCUAAUUGAGACAUUAAAGAAUUUAUUAUUUGAGUAGACGGGUGACCCAGACGACUGUGCCACAACAGACUGUGGCCAUCAGCCAAAAGAGCCACCGGAGCCACAGGAACGCUUUCUGAAACUGGGUGGGCAGACGAACUUGUGCCAGGAAGAACGUACAGACCAUGCUCACAGGGGCCCUGAAAAAUCACCCUCUUGGUAGUAUUGUCUAGGAUCUGAAAAUCAUUAGAGGUGAACAAGAGUGAGCAAUUAUUGUCUUUUGUGAAUUGGUGAACUGAAAGGAGAUUGGUUUUAAUAGAAGGGACGUGGGUAAGGUUACCUAGGUGAAAGAUAGCGGUGGGGGUGUUAAUGGUACCCGUGCCAGUGUGAGAAAUAUUAAGGGACUCACCGUUGCCAACAGUAAUACCAUUGGAGCCAUGAUAUGUAUUUGGAGCGUUAAGCUUGGAUAGAUCAGAAGUAACGUGCAUGUUGGCCCUAGUAUCCAACAACCAUUCAGAGGAAGGGCCGGCUUGAGAUGCAUAAUUGACACGGUUAUCACUAUUUCGGCUCUCCUCAUACCGAAACCAGCAACGAACAGCGGUGUGUCCUGUUUUCUGACAGAUUUGACAAGUUGGACGAUCCCGCUCGUAAGUGCCCUGCCCGUCGCUGCCGAAGGAGUGCAAGCUGUUGUUGCUGCCGUGCUGCUGACCGUCGUAUGGCGGACGACUGCCCUGCCGACCGCCGCGCCCGCGACCUUCGCUGUUUCUGCCGUAGCCGCCGUGGCUCCCCUGCCGGCCGCCACCACGCCCCCGCGAUAGUUCUGGCUUGCGGUGAGGGCGGUGGCCGGCUCCAUAACAAUGGUUUCUCGGAGAACAAGUUUUCUCUCCAGAUCCACAUUAAUUUCUUCACUUUUUAGCCACGAGGAGAGAGUAGCCAGGUCAACGGGCGUUGGACUUAUGCAAACCGCUUGUUUAAUGGAGGAGUAAGCUGAUGGGAGCCCCCGAACGACGCACAUGAUGAGAUCUUUUUCGGGAAUGAUUUCGUUCACGGUGUCGAGGGUUGUGAUGAUGGUGGAGACCUCGUCUAAAUACUCCGCCAUAGUUUUCGUGCCUUUGGUAAUUGUAUGGAGACGAUUACGCAAUUUAAAAAUAUGAGAGUGGGAAAUUGAUGCAUAGCGUGUUGCGAGGGCCGUCCACAGGGCUGAAGCAGUUGUGUAGGAUCGGACGUGUUUCUGAACCGUGGGAGAGAUGACCGCAAUCAAACAUGAUCGGAUCUGGCCAUCCACGGCUUUCCAGGCGGCAUGGGCCGAAUUGGUUUUUUCUGAUUUGUCCGUGGCGGUGAUGGCUGCCGGCGGCGGUUUUGUGCUUCCAUCGACGUAUUUGAGAAGGUAAUUGGCCUCAAUGGCUGUAAGAACGGUGAUUUUCCAUGUAGGGUAAUUUAUGUCUGAUAAUUUUUCGGGAAUCAGGGCAUGCAGAUGCCUGAGAAGGAUUUUAACGCCAGAAGGAAGUGAAUCGAGAGGAUCCACCUCGGUUGUCAUGGCUGCCGCCGCCCAAGAGAAGAGAGGGAACGAUCGGUGCCCUAAAGGGAGAAAAAAACCUAGAGAAAAGAAGAUCUAGGUUUUCUGGCUCUUGAUACCAUGAAGGAAUAUUGAUUGUAUUGAAGUGUUAACCUAAUAAGGGAAUAAAUGGGAGAUAUAUAUAGGAGAUAUAGGAAGGAGUACUAAUCCUAAUAGGAUGAAAAGGGAAUUUUAAUAUUAUUUAUUUAAUACUAUCUGUUGAAUACUAUUUAUUUAAUACUAUUUAUUUAAUACUAUUUAUUUAAUCCUAAAAGGGAAUUUUGGCCCUUUCUGAUUCCUGCUGAGCUGAAAUUCGACUUUUUAUUUUAAGUCCAAUUUUCAGAUACUAUCCCUGCUGCCACUGGUUUGGAUUUAAACCCAAUUUUUGCUCUUUCAGUUCAGCUCUUUGGAGCUACUGUUACUGCUAUUUUUAUAGGAUUUUAACCCAAUUAUAACAUGUCACCCUUUUCACCAUUUCGAUAAAGGUUGACUCAAGGAAAGAAAGAUGCAAGAGAUAAGAAGGUUCAUGCAAAAAGAUAAAGAAAAUAAUUAGCACAAGUGAAGUAAAAAUAAGUAGGACCGAUACUUGUAAAAUAAAACAACUCAAUGCAGCAAAUUGGUCAAAUAUUUCAUAAUCUAACAAUAACUUAUUCCUUGUUAACUAAUUUAACACCAAUCUUGUUCAUAAUGAACUGAAGCACCCAACUUUGUGAAACAUAGAAUAAUUAAAACUUUGAAAAAAAGGUCAAUUGAUAUUACAUGUCCCAUCUAACAGAAUGUCAAAAGGGUUUUUAAGAAAUCACAACCAACUAUAAAAUGCAAGAGACUACUACUCAUAUUAUUCACUUUAGAGAUAAAUCUGUUUUGAUUUUUGAAAUAAAAAUGAAUAAAACAGACAAUAAUUCGAGCAAGCAGGCAGCCAUAUCAACAAGUUAAUACAAAAAUUCUAUCUCAACCAAUUCAAACAUGAGUCUCCAAGGAUAAUGAGUUAAAAAAAUUAGGAUGCAUAAGGGUUGAGAGCUUUCAAUCAUCCUGGCCUAACUCUUUUGGAAAUGCUAAAGAACAGCCCCAAACGUAAGCAAUUUCUCACUCAAACAGGCCCUCGGAUAACAUUGAAACCCAAAGCAAGUUUCACAAAGAGGCAAGCAGAGAUGGCAUUUCAACAACAAGGACAUACUAUUGCAAUACAGGAGAUAGAAGCUCUAAAAUCAGUGUAAAUAAACAUACUACUUCAGAUCACCUUCUCGAUAUAGCAGGACACAAAAGAAAAUUAAUGUUAAAGAAUGACAAAAAGUCUCACAUCGGUGAUUAAUGAGAUGGGUGGACUCCUUAUAAGGCUUGGGCAAUCCUCCUCCCUUUGAGCUAGCUUUUGGGGUGUGAAUUAGGCCUAAGACCUAAUUUCACAUGGUAUCAGAGCGGGGCAUGUCUCACCCAAUGUUGGGGUCCCCAAAAUUAAAAUUGCGCACACACCAGAUGCUAAGCACUGGGCGUGAAGUGGAGCGUUAAAGAAUGACAAAAGUCCCACAUCGGUGAUUAAUGAGAUGAGUGAACUCCUUAUAAGGCUUGGGCAAUCCUCCUCCCUUUGAGCUAGAUUUUAGGGUGUGAGUUAGGCCUAAGACCACAACUAAGCAUGGAAUUGCGAGUUAACCAAAAGGCUAACGAACAGAAGACAAGGUUGCCAAAAGGCUAAUCACGUAUAACUCAAAGUGUUUAUCGAACAUUUUAACAUACAAGAGAAGCUAAAAAUAAGGGCUAUCUCACAUAAACAAGAAUGAAGAAACUUAGCAACCAAAAUAUUUUCAACAAAAUAUGGAUUUAAUGGUAAAUAGACAAAGAACUAAACAACAUCUGGACAAACAAGAAAAUUAGCUUAAGACAUUGAAUGGACAGCAAAACCAAAAACCAAAAUUACUAGCAGAUACAACAACUAAACUGAUCUAAUCCAGUCAUUCAACACACAACAAAAUAAUAAACUUAUUUAAAGGAACAAAGAAUUACUUUUCGCUGAGCAGUGAACUAAAACGACGAGUUGCGAAUCCACCACUUCAACAACCACACACACAAAAAAGGAACUAUUGAACCGAGAUUUCCCAAAACCUAUUAGGGGUACUCUCAAGCCUCAAAAGUCCGUCCCAUGAACAGUGAAGAGAGCGGCUUUUAUAACACCCAGAAUCUCCAAAUUUCUAAGAAGAAAUGAUGUGUAAUUUUGAGAAUUUUCAAAAUCCCUCAACAGAUAGGGAUUUUCAAUUUGUUAGCGUACGAAUUUUAAUGGAUAUGCGUUGAUUUUGAGCAAGGAUGAUCCAGGAAGGCGAGAUUUUGACAUCUAUACAAUUCUCAAAACGAUCUUGGUACGGAGAGAAUAAGGGAAACAGAAGCCACGCACGAUGGAUUUGGGGCUUGUGUUCAUUGGAAUGCGAUUCGGGUCGCCUGGUUUGCGAUUUGGUCGCUGUUCUGGGUUUCAUCGUGAUGAAGAAGAAGAAUACACGGGUGGGGGUUGGGUCGGGUCGGUUCGGCUGGUAUACGCUGUGUGGGUAUUGGUAUGGACAACUUUUACAUAUAGCAAAUAAAAAAUUCAUAUUUGUAUGCUAUAGCAAAAUUUGUAUAAUUACGAUCCAUAAUAAACAUAUAAACUGUAUAAUUCGCUAUACAUGUACAUUUGAAGCAAAUUGUAUAAAACGAAGUGUAUAAAACAAGAAAGAAAAAACACUUGGGCAGAGAACUGUAUAAAAACGAAGUAUAUAAAACGAAUUGUAUUAUAAUAAGUCUAUAGAACGAUUAUAUACAAUUUGAAUUUGUAUAAGAUGAGAAAGAGAGAAAGACAAAAGAGACUUGACAAGGA